Molecule: long non-coding RNA, 576 nt
Organism: Olea europaea var. sylvestris
Lineage: Eukaryota; Viridiplantae; Streptophyta; Magnoliopsida; Lamiales; Oleaceae
Exons: 2
Source: RefSeq, a predicted model, not a curated record
CGUUCCUGGAAGCUUCAUUUCUCCUUUCUCACUCGCCGCCGUUGAACUCUUCAGCUAUAUAUACCAUUUGCGCCCCCCAUUUCCUGUUCCAUUCCGAAUCUUUCAUUUUCUUAGAAUUCAUACCAUUGGUUUGAAAAAUUGUUCUAAAAGUUUCGUUCCCUAUACCGAAUCUAUAGCUUAAUCGAAGAUGAAUUCAAUGUCGAGCGCUAAAUCGUUCAGCUUCUCCAUUAUUGGAUUUAUGCUGAUGGCACUAAUCCAAUACAGUUUCGGACAAGGAAUGGCGCCAUCGCCGGCACCGAUUGGUCCUUCCAACGAUGGCACAGCAAUUGAUCAAGGGAUUGCAUACGUUCUCCUGUUUGUAGCACUCGCGAUUACAUACAUAGUCCACUAAUGAUAUCAUUUUUUUUCUGUUGAAAUUGUAUUGUUGUUGCAAUUUUAAUUCAUUCUUUCAUGUAUUUUCUCCUAUUAUUUUGAGGGCAUAAAUUUAAUUAUUUUUAUUUUUCAUCACUUGUAAAGAAAUAUAUUCAUUAGAAUAAUGCACAGUGGAUUGCAAUCUCAAUUUAGGCGGGGCUUAAA